Molecule: ribosomal RNA, 888 nt
Filed under: uncultured marine group I thaumarchaeote
Lineage: Archaea; Thermoproteati; Nitrososphaerota
Description: SSU rRNA
Rfam family: Archaeal small subunit ribosomal RNA
Source: RNAcentral
CCUGCCGGACCUGACUGCUAUCGGAUUGAUACUAAGCCAUGCGAGUCUUUGUAGUAAUACAAGGCAGACGGCUCAGUAACACGUAGUCAACCUACCCUAUGGACAAGAAUAAUCUCGGGAAACUGGGCAUAAUUCUUGAUAGAUCAUAAUGCCUGGAAUGGUUUAUGGUUAAAAUGAUUCGUCGCCAUAGGAUGGGACUGCGGCCUAUCAGCUUGUUGGUGAGGUAAUGGCCCACCAAGGCGAUUACAGGUACGGGCUCUGAGAGGAGAAGCCCGGAGAUGGGUACUGAGACACGGACCCAGGCCCUAUGGGGCGCAGCAGGCGAGAAAACUUUGCAAUGUGCGAAAGCACGACAAGGUUAAUCCGAGUGAUUUCUGCUAAAGAAAUCUUUCACCAGUCAUAAAACCACUGAUGAAUAAGGGGUGGGCAAGUUCUGGUGUCAGCCGCCGCGGUAAAACCAGCACCUCAAGUGGUCAGGAUGAUUAUUGGGCCUAAAGCAUCCGUAGCCGGCUUUGUUAGUUUUCGGUUAAAUCCAUGUGCUCAACGCAUGGGCUGCCGAAAAUACUGCAAGGCUAGGGAGUGGGAGAGGUAGACGGUACUCAGUAGGAAGGGGUAAAAUCCUUUGAUCUAUUGAUGACCACCUGUGGCGAAGGCGGUCUACCAGAACACGUUCGACGGUGAGGGAUGAAAGCUGGGGGAGCAAACCGGAUUAGAUACCCGGGUAGUCCCAGCUGUAAACGAUGCAGACUCGGUGAUGCAUUGGCAUAAUAGCCAGUGCAGUGUCGCAGGGAAGCCGUUAAGUCUGCCGCCUGGGAAGUACGUACGCAAGUAUGAAACUUAAAGGAAUUGGCGGGGGAGCACCACAAGGGGUGAAGCCUGCGGUUCAAU